AUCAUCCUCUGAAAGAAAUGAAUAUUUAAGGAUUGGAGGACAGAUCUUGAAAUGUGGAUUUACGUUAAUUUAUGAUCUUGGUUUCAUGCUCAUUGCAGCAGUCUGGUUGAUCGCUGGAACAGCUUCAGUCAUCGAACCCUACAGACAUAUUUUGGGAGAGGACAUCACCACGGCUUUCGGAACCCUUAAAAAUACUUCUGACAUCCUUGUAAGCAAGAUUAACAUCCAGGUUGUAACAGAACAUCUUAACGACUCCAGCCAACCUCAAACCAACCUGGAUGGAACUCUAGAGUGUGAUAUAGUUCUAUACUAUCUGACAAUAGUUGUUCUUAUCACAGGCUGGAUUAUUAUUGGACUGGGUGCUCUGUAUAUCCUGUUUUUCAAGAUAUUUUAUCCUCUCUUCUGCUGCAAGCCCUGCAAAGACAACAGACAUGGAGAUAUGGAUAUCAUGCAUAUAUAAUACUUCAACAUCAAAUACAACACCAUGCAAGAAGAUAAAAUAGGAAAUAUGAAGUUUUAAAAACUAAAACAAAAAAAUUGUACUAGUCUGCCAACUUAUCUCCAUUUAUUGAGCAUUUUCUACACUUUGAUUUUGACAUUUGAAUUUAGCAUAGACCUGAUGACUUGCCUCAAACUCAUACAAUAGCAACUAAUUAACUUUAACUGUGUUUCUAUGGAUUUUAUACAUUUUGAGAAAGCAAAGGUUUACACCAUCAUAUUGAAUUGUGAAGACAUAAAGAUUAGAAAUUAAGAAUUUAACUUUAUCCCUUAUCCUUUAUCCCUAGUUUUUAUUGAACAAUUUAAACAUUUUUAUUUAGAAUUUUCGGAUUUGAUAUAAAGUAAACCAGGCAAUUGAUAAAUUGUUCUAAACUCAAAAUUUUCUAAUUGCUAUAACACUACAAUCUAGUGACGUUUCAUCCUUAUAUGUUUCAAACUAAGAUUAUUUCAUUUAGCUGACUUCGUAGUUAGAAAUAUCAAAAGCUUAAUUUGUUGAAAGUAUCUGGAUGCAAAGAUAUAGGGGUUUGAAAAUUGGAGUUUGAGGCUAGUAAUUAAAAAGCUUUCAAAAUUAUAAUUUUCAAUGUGAAAGCGGUGCUAAUUUGCUUCAUUCUGUACAUUUGUACAAUAAUACUGUACACAUCCAAAGUAUGUGAACCACUGUACAUAGUAUCAUUUUUUAAUCUUUAAAUUAUAUUAACUUUAGAAUUUGUAGUUUCAGUUCUGCAAAGUACAACAAAAUUACUGUAGUUCUUCCGUUCCUGCAUUAUGAAUUUAUAAACUCACAGAAAAGUUUCUUGAAAAAACUGGCAAUAAAAACUUUGUUAGUCUCAAUUUUCUGAAAUUCUAGGACAACAUGUCACUGGAAAUAAAGUCCUGAGUUUUAGGUUCCUGGGACUUUUUUCCUAAAAUAAUAUGGAGGCUGCCAAUAAAGUCUCAGGAAAUAAAAUCGAAGGAAUUAAAGUCCCGAAGAAAAAAAAACCAAGAAUAUAAGUCUUAAGUGAAAAUGAGGUCAUGUCUGAGUUGUUUUCAUAAAGAAAACUUUUCUUCUAACCAUUGUGUCAAAAUUAGGACACUUUUUUUAUAAUUUUUAUAAUCAAAUAAUUUCUGAAUUUUAGAGUGAUAUAAAUCUGAUUUUUUUAAGUAAAAUCUCAAACAAUAAAAGUAUUGUAUCUCUUUUUAUACUCAAACUAUUGAAAACUUCUCACGCAGAUGAUUUAACUACGAAAUUUAAAAAGGUUAAAUUUUUAGGUUUUAUGCUAAUAAUAGAAUAGUUUCUAAAUGUUUGAUUUUCAAUAACUUAACAUUCUUUUAUUCAACACGCGUUGGUUUUUUAGACGUCUGAGUUUUAAAGGCUGCAUGGCUUUACAGUGUAAAGGAUUGAAGUAUUUAGAAAAGAGGAUGUAUUUUUCAUUGCCAAGCCAAGAUAAAUGUUUAGAAUUCAUGAUUUUACUUUAGAAUAUGAAUCUUUAAAGUUAUGGUUACGAGCACAUAUACAGAAAGACAGAAGUGUUUAUGAUUUCAAAGAUUUAUCUGUAUUUAUAUGUAUAUCCAUUUUAUUAAUAUUCUUCACAGCAUCUGCAUAUUGAAUGCUGACAGAAGUAGUUUUAAUAUUAAGCCCCUUUUUUAAUGAUUGCAAACAUUCUAUGUUUCCAUGCAUUUUCUGCUAUAAUAGGACUUUUUUCCGGGGACGGUUUUGUAAAAAAUCAUACUGGAACCAGAAAAAAAUUCUAGAAUAUUAAGUCUGAAAAAUGAUAGGACUUCAUUUAAAACUUUUGUUUCUAGGACUUUUUUUCCAGAGGACUUUUUUAGUACCAAAAUUUAGGACUUUAUUUCCGAAAACUUUUUUCCAGAGAACUUUUUUGUCGGUUACCUGCAUGAUAUACUGGAUGAUAUUCAAACCUUUCACUGAGAAUCAGAAAUAACAAAUUCUUAUUUAUUUAUGUUUUUUUACAAUAAACUAUUUUAUCAAUGUA
This 2471-nucleotide unclassified non-coding RNA is filed under the name Eurytemora carolleeae. RNAcentral's name for it is "uncharacterized LOC111709871". The record is from RNAcentral. Lineage: Eukaryota; Metazoa; Arthropoda; Copepoda; Calanoida; Temoridae.